AGAGUUUGAUCCUGGCUCAGAAUCAACGCUGGCGGCGUGCCUCAGACAUGCAAGUCGAACGCGAAAGCUCCCUUCGGGGAGCAAGUAGAGUGGCGCACGGGUGAGUAACACGUAGGUAAUCUACCUUUGGAUGGGGAAUAACAACCGGAAACGGUUGCUAAUACCGCAUAAUGCAGCGGCACCUAAUGGUGACAGUUGUUAAAGCGGGGGAUCGCAAGACCUCGCGUCUGAAGAGGAGCCUGCGGCGGAUUAGCUAGUUGGUAAGGUAACGGCUUACCAAGGCGAUGAUCCGUAGCCGGCCUGAGAGGGCGGUCGGCCACACUGACACUGACAUACGGGUCAGACUCCUACGGGAGGCAGCAGUCGGGAAUUUUGGGCAAUGGGCGAAAGCCUGACCCAGCAACGCCGCGUGAAGGAUGAAAUCCUUCGGGAUGUAAACUUCGCAAGAACGGGAAGAAUAAGCCGGUGUCAACACCACCGGCGAUGACGGUACUGUUUGUAAGCUCCGGCUAACUCCGUGCCAGCAGCCGCGGUAAUACGGGGGGAGCAAGCGUUGUUCGGAUUUACUGGGCGUAAAGGGCGCGUAGGCGGCCACCGCAAGUCGACUGUGAAAUCUCCGGGCUUAACCCGGAACGGUCAGCCGAUACUGCGGGGCUAGAGUGCAGAAGGGGCAACUGGAAUUCUCGGUGUAGCGGUGAAAUGCGUAGAUAUCGAGAGGAACACCUGCGGCGAAGGCGGGUUGCUGGGCUGACACUGACGCUGAGGCGCGAAAGCUAGGGGAGCGAACGGGAUUAGAUACCCCGGUAGUCCUA
Molecule: ribosomal RNA, 812 nt
Filed under: uncultured soil bacterium
Lineage: Bacteria
Description: bacterial SSU rRNA
Rfam family: Bacterial small subunit ribosomal RNA
Source: RNAcentral